UUUAAUAACAAAAAAGUUAUGCAAAAUUUACGAUCUAAAAAAGUACAUGUUAAUUGUAAAAAAUCGAAAUUUCGAUUUUUCUCAAAAACUAUAAUUUUUUCAAUUUUGAUAAUUAUGUGCAAGGUGCCCCUUCGCUAGGAGUGCUUGGCAGUUUUUAAAUGAAAGCUCUAUCUUUAAUAACAAAAAAGUUAUGCAAAAUUUACGAUCUUAUAAAGUAUAUGUUAAUGGUAAAAAACAGAAAUUUCAAUUUUUCUCAAAAACUAUAAUUUUUUAAAUUUUGAUAUUUAUGUGCAAGGUGCCCCUUCGCUAGGAGUACUUGACUGUUUUUAAAUGAAACCUCUAUCUUUAAUAACAAAAAAGUUAUGCAAAAUUUUCGAUCUAAAAAAGUACAUGUUAAUUGUAAAAAACCGAAAUUUCGAUUUUUCUCAAAAACUAUAAUUUUUUCAAUUUUGAUAAUUAUGUGAAAGGUGCCCCUUCGCUAGGAGUACUUGACAGUUUUUAAAUGAAAGCUCUAUCUUUAAUAACAAAAAAGUUAUGCAAAAUUUACGAUCUAAAAAAGUACAUGUUAAUUGUAAAAAAUCGAAAUUUCGAUUUUUCUCAAAAACUUUAAUUUUUUCAAUUUUGAUAAUUAUGUGCAAGGUGCCCCUUCGCUAGGAGUACUUGACAGUUUUUAAAUGAAAGCUCUAUCUUUAAUAACAAAAAAGUUAUGCAAAAUUUUCGAUCUAAAAAAGUA
Molecule: long non-coding RNA, 733 nt
Organism: Anthonomus grandis grandis
Lineage: Eukaryota; Metazoa; Arthropoda; Insecta; Coleoptera; Curculionidae
Exons: 4
Source: RefSeq, a predicted model, not a curated record